Small nuclear RNA from Callithrix jacchus (white-tufted-ear marmoset), 107 nucleotides. Lineage: Eukaryota; Metazoa; Chordata; Mammalia; Primates; Cebidae. The record is from Ensembl.
GUGCUCGCUUUGGCAGCACCUACACUAAAAUUGUGAUGAUACACAAAAGGCUGGCGUGGCUGCCGCACAAGGAUAACACACAAAGGUAUGCAGCAUUCUGUAUUUUU